Molecule: ribosomal RNA, 238 nt
Filed under: uncultured Flavobacterium sp.
Lineage: Bacteria; Pseudomonadati; Bacteroidota; Flavobacteriia; Flavobacteriales; Flavobacteriaceae
Description: partial 16S ribosomal RNA
Rfam family: Bacterial small subunit ribosomal RNA
Source: RNAcentral
CACGCCGUAAACGAUGGAUACUAGCUGUUCGGGGCAACCUGAGUGGCUAAGCGAAAGUGAUAAGUAUCCCACCUGGGGAGUACGUUCGCAAGAAUGAAACUCAAAGGAAUUGACGGGGGCCCGCACAAGCGGUGGAGCAUGUGGUUUAAUUCGAUGAUACGCGAGGAACCUUACCAAGGCUUAAAUGUAGAUUGACCGGUUUGGAAACAGAUCUUUCGCAAGACAAUUUACAAGGUGC